Molecule: unclassified non-coding RNA, 171 nt
Filed under: uncultured Agaricomycetes
Lineage: Eukaryota; Fungi; Basidiomycota; Agaricomycetes
Description: sequence contains ITS2
Source: RNAcentral
AAUUCUCUCAAACCCCAAGGGUUUGGAUGUGGACGUUGUUGUAGUAACUCGUCUUUGAAAUUCAUUAGCUGAUCUCUUGGUCUGACGGACGACGGUGUGAUAAGUGAAAUUACUACGCUGUGUGUGUCUAAUGGACUUGUAUAGAUUGCUUCUAAUAAAACUUUUAUUGAA